AUGGCCUCUUUCGCCGCCCUUCCGCUGGCCGCUCUCCUGGUGCUGGCCGUCUCGUGGGCAUGGGAGCACCUCGUGUGGAGGCCCUACGCCAUAGCCAGGAGGCACAGGGCGCAAGGGAUCCAUGGCCCCCCAUACAGGUUCCUCAAGGGCUCCAACGAGGAGGUGAGGCGGAUGAAGGCGGAGACGGCCGACGUGGUGCUCGACGUCCGCGACCACAACUACCUCCCCAGGGUCGCGCCGCACUUCCUCAAGUGGAGGGCACAGUAUGGAGAGCCAUUUCUGUUCUGGUUUGGUGCCAAGCCCCGGAUCUGUGUCUUUGACUACGAGUUGGUUAGGCAGAUCCUUUCAAGCAAAUCCGGACACUUUCCGAAGAACGACGCGCACCCGAACGUGUUGGAAUUGCUCGGCAAGGGCCUGGUGUUGGUGAACGGUGUGGAUUGGGUGCGCCAUCGCAGGGUCAUCAACCCUGCUUUUGCAAUGGAUAAGAUAAAGGCGAUGACGGAAACGAUGGUGUCUUGUGCCCAACGCACGUUCAGUGUGUUUGAAGAUCAGGCAUGCAAGAACACAAAUAGAGAAAUCCUAGUGGAAUUCGACAAAGCAGUCCAAGGGUUAACAGCAGAUAUCAUAUCCCACACAGCCUUCGGAAGUAGCUACAAAUUAGGAAUGGAAGCCUUCCAUGCCCAGAAAGAGCUCCAGUCAAUCGCCAUAUCCAGUUUACUUAAUGUGCAGAUACCAGGAUUCAGCUAUCUGCCCACAAAAAGGAAUAGGAGGAAGUGGAUGCUUGAAAAGAAGCUUCGAAGCACGCUCAUGCGUGUCAUAAACUCGCGGUUAGCGUCGAAGGGGAGCGGAUAUGGAAAUGACCUACUUGGUUUGAUGUUUGAGGGCUGCACUACGACAGUGCAAGGGGGCAAGCAGGAGCAGCUAAGCUUGAGCAUGGAGGAGAUCCUACACGAGUGCAAAACAUUCUUCUUCGCCGGUUACGAAACGACAUCGCUUCUGCUCACCUGGACAGUGUUCUUGCUCAGUGUGUACCCAGAGUGGCAGGAGAGGCUACGGGAGGAGGUCUUGAGGGAGAUGAUGAUGGUCCUCCAUGAAGCCCUGAGGCUCUACGGCCCUGCUCUUUUCAUGCAGAGGAAGACCAUAACUGACAUGGUGGUCGGAGCCAUAACAAUCCCCAAGGACCAUGCAGUUGUCAUAGGCGCCCCAUUCAUGCACCGGGAUAAAAAGGUCUGGGGUGAGGAUGCGGAUCAGUUCAACCCGAUGAGAUUCGCGAACGGGGUCGCCAGAGCGGCGAAGGUUCCACACGCCCUGCUGGCGUUCUCGAUCGGGCCGAGGGCGUGCAUCGGCCAGAACUUUGCGAUGCUCGAAGCCAAAUCCGUGAUGGUGACGGUUCUGCAGAAGUUCUCGUUCGCUCUCUCCCCGAGCUAUGUCCACGCUCCUGCGGAUUUCCUCACUCUGCAGCCUAAGUUUGGCCUCCCCGUCGUUAUGAAGCUGCUGGAUAUAUGA
RNAcentral lists this ribosomal RNA (1506 nucleotides) under Triticum aestivum (bread wheat). RNAcentral describes it as "partial small subunit ribosomal RNA". The record is from RNAcentral. Lineage: Eukaryota; Viridiplantae; Streptophyta; Magnoliopsida; Poales; Poaceae.